AACUCUAUGUCUGACUCAGGUGGAGAUGCAGGCAGAGCAGCCUUUAGGUCAGACGCUCUCCCAAAAACAUCCACCCCACUAACAGAGGAGACACUUAAUCCAACAUGAUGUGUUAGUGUAUGUCACCCUCAAAA
Haliotis rubra (blacklip abalone) is the source of this 134-nucleotide long non-coding RNA. RefSeq lists it as uncharacterized. NCBI's taxonomy places the organism in Eukaryota, Metazoa, Mollusca, Gastropoda, Lepetellida, Haliotidae. The record is from RefSeq and is a predicted model, not a curated record. The transcript has 4 exons.